Molecule: ribosomal RNA, 746 nt
Filed under: uncultured bacterium
Lineage: Bacteria
Description: bacterial SSU rRNA
Rfam family: Bacterial small subunit ribosomal RNA
Source: RNAcentral
AGAGUUUGAUCCUGGCUCAGAACGAACGCCGGCGGCAUGCCUAACACAUGCAAGUCGAACGCCUGUAGCAAUACAGGAGUGGCGGACGGGUGAGUAACACGUGGGAAUCUACCCAGUAGCCUGGAAUAACCGCGGGAAACUGCGGCUAAUACCGGAUACGCCCCGAGGGGGAAAGGAGCAAUCCACUAUUGGAGGAGCCCGCGCCCGAUUAGCUAGUUGGUGAGGUAAUGGCUCACCAAGGCGAUGAUCGGUAGCUGGUCUGAGAGGACGACCAGCCACACUGGGACUGAGACACGGCCCAGACUCCUACGGGAGGCAGCAGUGGGGAAUAUUGGACAAUGGGGGAAACCCUGAUCCAGCAAUGCCGCGUGGGUGAUGAAGGCCUUCGGGUUGUAAAGCCCUUUUGGCGGGGACGAUGAUGACGGUACCCGCAGAAGAAGCCCCGGCUAACUUCGUGCCAGCAGCCGCGGUAAUACGAAGGGGGCUAGCGUUGUUCGGAAUUACUGGGCGUAAAGGGCGCGUAGGCGGCCUCGUCCGUCCGGCGUGAAAUGCCUGGGCUCAACCUAGGAAUUGCGCUCGAUACAGCGAGGCUAGAGUGUGGGAGAGGUUGGUGGAAUUCCCAGUGUAGAGGUGAAAUUCGUAGAUAUUGGGAAGAACACCGGUGGCGAAGGCGGCCAACUGGACCACAACUGACGCUGAGGCGCGAAAGCGUGGGGAGCAAACAGGAUUAGAUACCCCAGUAGUCC